RNAcentral lists this long non-coding RNA (1161 nucleotides) under Ornithorhynchus anatinus (platypus). RNAcentral's name for it is "lncRNA (ENSOANG00000051111.1)". The record is from RNAcentral. Lineage: Eukaryota; Metazoa; Chordata; Mammalia; Monotremata; Ornithorhynchidae.
AAAUGUGGUUUACAGUUGUUUCAGAAUAAUCUGAUCAUUUCAGUAGAACUCUUCCUUCCUCCUUCUCGCUUACAGAUAUUUUCCUCAGUCCCACAACAGGCUCUUAACUUCCAUCAGCCACAAAUUUCUAAACACUCGUCCUCAGGGAAGCACCAAACUAUCUCAAUAUGAAGCUCAUUCUAGUUGUCUUUACUGUCUCCGUGAGAACCACCCCAGUAUAUCUAGGCUGCACCUUCCACCCCUUAAAGCUAAAUCCAGCAGAAUGUUUCAGUAAUGGCAAUCUAUAUACUUUGGGAGAAACUUGGAUGCAUGACUGCAACCUCUGUACAUGUAAUAAGGACAACGUGAUUUGCUGCCCCAAAUACUCUGCACCCUCGAGUUUUGAUGAAGAAAUGUGUGAGCCUAUUUUUAACACUAUGACCUGCACUUUCAAAGUUGUGAAGAAAAACGACCAUUCUAAAAACUGUCCAUUCGAAUCUAACGUAGGUUAAGGUUUCCAAAUUUCUCUCAUUUGAUUAACCAAUCAUAAAAUUUUUUUUAAAAAAUUCAGUGAAUCCUGAUGCUUCUAUUGCUGACAUUGUUAAGGGCUUUAUAGUUUAGCUCUGAUUCUAAAUGGCAUGCAUUUCACAACUUUCUUUUUCGAUCCUAUUAAAAAACCCAAUUUUAAUCAGCCGCUAUCUUCCUUGGGCACUGGAACUUGGGGUUAAAUAAAUUAAGAAGCAACAUCAAAAGCUUCUUGUCUCAUACUUUAAGGACAUAGCAUUUGGAUUUUUAAGGGGAGUGCUUAGUACACUCCUUUGCACACAGUAAGCACUCAAUAAAUACCAUUGAUUAAAAUACUAUUGAUCAAAUACGUCUUUCUAGGGUUUCAUUCCUCUUUGGUUGAAGGGAAGACAGUGAUAAUAGCCCUAACAAAAAUGAUAGUAAUAAUUACAAGCUCACUGUAAGCAGGGGGCAUGUUUAACAGUUGUGUUCUUUUGUACCCUGCCAAGUGCUUAGUACAGUGCUCUGCAAACAGUAAGCCCUCAAUAAAUACCAUUGAUUGAUUGAUUGAUUAAUGAAUUGCUUCCUAUAUGAUAUACACGAAUGAGGAGUGCGUUUGUGUAUCUGUAAAGGCACUUUUAGGAAGGUUGAUCACAUUAUUUUUAUUUUAAACUGGAC